RNAcentral lists this ribosomal RNA (253 nucleotides) under uncultured bacterium. RNAcentral's name for it is "partial 16S ribosomal RNA". It matches the Rfam family "Bacterial small subunit ribosomal RNA", at positions 524 to 776 of the family's 1533-position model. The record is from RNAcentral.
UACGUAGGGUGCGAGCGUUGUCCGGAUUUACUGGGCGUAAAGAGCGCGCAGGCGGUCGUACAAGUCGCGUGUGAAAGCCCCCGGCUCAACUGGGGAGGGUCACGCGAUACUGUUCAACUCGAAGGCAGGAGAGGGAAGCAGAAUUCCCGGUGUAGUGGUGAAAUGCGUAGAUAUCGGGAGGAAUACCAGUGGCGAAGGCGGCUUCCUGGCCUGUUCUUGACGCUGAGGCGCGAAAGCUAGGGUAGCAAACGGG